CCUCUAACAAGAUAUCUUACUAAAAUUACGUUUUAUAUUCCCACUUACCUAAAUAUCAUUACUGAGAAUACGAGACUUUAACAAAGAUUGUAAAAAUUUAUCGAAACCGGAAGUGAUGCACCGCAAUGCACGAGGAGUGCAUUGUGGGGUUUGCAGUCACGAUCGCAACACGGAAGUGCACUACAAGAACAUUAAGUACACAGCACUUUCACCCUCUUUAUUAAAGGAAGCAACAACAUUCCCUAGACAGCCCUCUAGAUUGGAGACACCGGAGAAGCCAGCAAAUGAUUAUAUAUUGAUUGCACCCAGAUUGCUG
This is a non-coding RNA of Pelobates cultripes (western spadefoot toad), 316 nucleotides long. The record is from the annotation of a GenBank genome assembly. Lineage: Eukaryota; Metazoa; Chordata; Amphibia; Anura; Pelobatidae.